This is a non-coding RNA of Callithrix jacchus (white-tufted-ear marmoset), 1151 nucleotides long. NCBI's taxonomy places the organism in Eukaryota, Metazoa, Chordata, Mammalia, Primates, Cebidae. The record is from RefSeq and is a predicted model, not a curated record.
UGAAAGACAUCAAAUCAUAGAUCCAAGAAGACUUCAAAUCAGAAUAUAUAUUUUAAAAAGAAAUGAGCAACAACAACAAAACACAGUACACAUUUAGACACGUAAUAGUCAAACCAGACAAAUCCAAAUUUAUAGAUAAAAACUUGGCGCCCGCAGCUGGGCUGGGCCAGAACAGCCCACGAUGGCCAACUUCAAUGAUUGUGUGUCAGAUGAGAAGGUACCCAUAGCUGUUAAGUUCGUCACUCAUGCACCCCAGGGGAAUUUAAUGAACUAUUUAAUGAUGUUUGGCUACUACUUAAUAAUGACAAUCUCCUCAGGGAAGGGGCAGCACAUGCAUUUUCCCAGUAUAACAUGGAUCGGUUCAUGUCUGUGAAGAUAGAAGGAUAUGAAGAUCAGGUUUUAAUUACAGGGCAUGGUGACCUAGGUAACAGCAGAUUUUUAGAUCCAAGAAACAAAAUUUCCUUUAAAUUUGAUCACCUAGGAAAGAAGCAAGUGACCCCCACCCAGAAGAAGCUGAUGGAGGUCUUAAGUCUUGGAGAGAAUCUUGUGACUGUGCUUUACCAGCCUAUGUGAAAGACCAUUAUUCCAGCGGCUUCUGUACUGUUUAUGCGAAAACUAUCCAUGGGCAACAGACUAUUAUUGCAUGUAUUGAAAGCCACCAGUUACAGCCUAAAAACUUCUGGAAUGGUAGUUGGAGAUCAGAGCAGAAGUUCACCAUCACACUACCUACAGCCCAGGUGGUUGGAGUGCUUAAGACUCAGGUUCACUAUUAUGAAGAUGGCAAUGUUCAGUUGGCUAGUCAUAAAGAUGUACAGGAUUGACUAACUGUUUUGAAUGAAGCCCAAACUGCCAAGGAGUUUAUUAAUAUCACAGAGAAUGCAGAAAAUGAGUAUCAGACAGCAAUUAGUAAAAACUAUCAAACAAUGCCAGAUACCACAUUUAAGGCAUUGCGCAGGCAGCUUCCAUUUACCCACACCAAAAUCAACUGGAACAAGAUAGUCAGCUACAAGAUUGGCAAAGAAAUGCAGAAUGCUUAAAGGCCAAAUGUAGAAUUCUUCAGCAUGUGGAAAGACAAAGAUUCAAUGUGUGGUUAUAUGAUAAAUAAGUGAUUUAUAAACAAGAGUGAUAUUUUGCUAGGGCUUUCAAAGUUA